This 304-nucleotide ribosomal RNA is filed under the name uncultured bacterium. RNAcentral's name for it is "partial 16S ribosomal RNA". It matches the Rfam family "Bacterial small subunit ribosomal RNA", at positions 506 to 807 of the family's 1533-position model. The record is from RNAcentral.
CAUCAGCCGCCACGGUAAUACGUAGGGUGCGAGCGUUAAUCGGAAUUACUGGGCGUAAAGCGUGCGCAGGCGGUUCGGAAAGAGAGAUGUGAAAUCCCAGGGCUUAACCUUGGAACUGCAUUUUUAACUACCGGACUAGAGUGUGUCAGAGGGAGGUGGAACUCCGCGUGUAGCAGUGAAAUGCGUAGAGAUGCGGAGGAACACCGAUGGCGAAGGCAGCCUCCUGGGAUAACACUGACGCUCAUGCACGAAAGCGUGGGGAGCAAACAGGAUUAGAUACCCGCGUAGUCCCUGUCUCUUAUAC